GAUAAACGCUGGCGGCGCACAUAAGACAUGCAAGUCGAACGGAGCUUGCUUGUCAGAUCCUUUCGGGGUGACGACUUGUAAGCUUAGUGGCGAACGGGUGAGUAACACGUGAGUAACCUGCCCCAGAGUGGGGGACAACAGUUGGAAACGACUGCUAAUACCGCAUAAGCCCACGGAACCGCAUGGUUCAGAGGGAAAAGGAGCAAUUCGCUUUGGGAUGGACUCGCGUCCGAUUAGCUAGAUGGUGAGGUAACGGCCCACCAUGGCGACGAUCGGUAGCCGGACUGAGAGGUUGAUCGGCCACAUUGGGACUGAGACACGGCCCAG
Molecule: ribosomal RNA, 327 nt
Filed under: uncultured bacterium
Lineage: Bacteria
Description: bacterial SSU rRNA
Rfam family: Bacterial small subunit ribosomal RNA
Source: RNAcentral